UUCUUCCUUUGUUGACAGGUUUGAAGAGAGUUGGCAGGUGGGGGAGAAAGUAAAUCUGCCUUACCCUCUGGGUUACUUAUCCUAAUUUUUCCGUGCCUGGUACAUUCAGCUCCAUAGAGGUUUCUGUGUCACUCAUAACAGCAUUGUUGUAGGCUGGUCGCUGGGUGGUAUCAGUAGACAUUCUAGCUAACAAUUAGCCAUGACUCAAACUUUUACCACCUUGUUUUUUUCUAAAUGUUGUGUUUGUCCACUCCCAACAGUGCCUGGUACUUGUUGUAAAGAUACUAUGUCACUUACUUGGUCACUAUUUCAGUCCAAAGUUCAAACAUUGAAGUUGUCAUAUUACAAAACCUCAAAUUUGUCCAACAGAGAAGUUCACAUCGGUCUCCUCAUAGCACCGCCAUCCUGGCUUCCACUUUAAAAAAAAUAAAAAAAUGAUUAACCCUCGGCCAGUCAAUGAAUAGCAGUUUUUGGCGCUUCCACAUUGCCCUCAGUUGUCAGCCCUAGAGGUUGCCACUUGUGGCGAUUGCUCUAAGACUGCAAGGGAAGCUCAGCUUCCCCUAAAAUGUCAAAAAAUAAGUGGUCAAAUAUGUACUGUUGUGUUUACAUUUCAUUGACUAAAUAUGCGCUAGAACGCGUUCAACUUUUGUUCAGAAUCAGCUACUUAUCACAGGUCACUGACGCGACUUUCUUCUCAUUCAUUCCCAUAGCGUCACAGUGCAUUAAACAGUGGAAGCUCAGCGUCCAAAGACUUCAAUGGGGAAGCAUAGAGUGGGUUGUUCCACUGCAGCAAAACUAGACAGUCAUUGGAUAAAUGCUCGGUUUUGUCCCGCCCAUCGGACGUUCAGCGUCUCUGGGGGUCUAUGCGGCAGUGGGCUGGCCUCGGCUGGCCUGGACCAGAGCCCUUGAAUAGAGAGUUGCGUCUUCUCCGUUCACUCUAAUGGGCCAUUUUUUCACAGCAAUGGCGGAUCGCGGAGCCUCUCAAUAGUUCCCGGAAGUAAGCGGCACAUGCUAGCAGCGCAAUGGAGUUACAGCAGAAAAGACCGGCUGUGAUGUACUUUUAACGGGAGCACUGGGUGGUGGCGGAGCAGUGAUGCUGCAGGACCACUGUGUGAGAGAGGAUGCUGCAGAUAAGUGCUGAGUCGACCUUGGUGAGACUUAAAACUUAACAAGCACAAGAACAACAGGGGGAUGCAAUGGAGCCUGAACUCACCCCGCAAUGAAACAACCCCCUUACCCUGAGUCUCAACUCUGUGGGUUUUGCAAGCCUUUCCCUGUUCCUUAUUUUUAAUAAACCAAACACUGAGCUUCCCAAUA
Long non-coding RNA from Epinephelus moara (kelp grouper), 1317 nucleotides. RefSeq lists it as uncharacterized. The transcript is spliced from 3 exons. The record is from RefSeq and is a predicted model, not a curated record. Lineage: Eukaryota; Metazoa; Chordata; Actinopteri; Perciformes; Serranidae.